Molecule: ribosomal RNA, 403 nt
Filed under: uncultured bacterium
Lineage: Bacteria
Description: bacterial SSU rRNA
Rfam family: Bacterial small subunit ribosomal RNA
Source: RNAcentral
UGGGGAAUAUUGGACAAUGGGCGCAAGCCUGAUCCAGCCAUGCCGCGUGAGUGAUGAAGGCCUUAGGGUUGUAAAGCUCUUUUACCAGGGAAGAUAAUGACGGUACCUGGAGAAUAAGCCCCGGCUAACUUCGUGCCAGCAGCCGCGGUAAUACGAAGGGGGCUAGCGUUGCUCGGAAUCACUGGGCGUAAAGCGCACGUAGGUGGGUCGUUAAGUCAGGGGUGAAAUCCCGGAGCUCAACUCCGGAACUGCCUUUGAUACUGGCGAUCUUGGAGUCCGGGAGAGGUGAGUGGAACUGCGAGUGUAGAGGUGAAAUUCGUAGAUAUUCGCAAGAACACCAGUGGCGAAGGCGGCUCACUGGCCCGGUACUGACACUGAGGUGCGAAAGCGUGGGGAGCAAACA